ACAUCCAUGUGACUACUAUCUUUGGUCACGCUCAGUACCUUGUUCUCUAACAAGUACUCGCAUAAUCACUCCAGUGUCUCUACAUCGUGGACUCGAGACUCGUCCAUCUGACUAAGUGAUCUGUACACUAAUCUCAGCGGAUCGAUCACCGUCCCUCAUGAUGGAUCCAUUGAUCAGGAGCAUUUAAAAAUUAAUCCCUAAUGACACAUGCCUCAAAUUCUCAAGUUCUUGAGAAUAUGUGUCUUCAUCUAUUAAUUUCUUGGACGACUCAUGGACACAUACAAACAUGAAUGAAAAACAAAUUGUCCAAUCUUAUUUAUUAAUAAGUAUCAAAUUACAAAUUUAUGCCCCGGAUUACAAAUAUGCGUCAUCCACGUUGGCUUCUAGGGCAUACUUCUAACAGCUUUGUGUUCAAAUUAGCAAAAUCUUGGCCAGGAUAAUCCUUAUGAUGAGUCACAUAAUUUCUAAAGUUGAUCACAUAGUGGAUGUACUGAUUAGAGAGUUAACAGAACUCUAAGGUCAUUCUAGCAUUAGGAGUCAAAGGGAUGAAUUAUACAGUAACCAUAGUCUAGGAUUUCAGAAUAUUUGCUUUGCAUAUAUUCGACCUAUCCGGACGUCGGGUACCAUUGCUAGAUGGUCACAUCGAUUAGUGCAGGAAGUCGUUCCUGUACUACCGGCUUAGGUUCGAACCUAUAAGGUCACACGCAUAGAAACUUCCUGAUUGAUCAAGAUGGCUGAUGGAUGAUUGAGAAUCAUUCAGGAAUAAUUUGGUCAAUUCGAUUGGCAAAUUAUCCUAUAAAAUAAUUAAAGCAAUUAUUGGAGGAUUAGUUAGUAAUUAGAUUUCUAAUAAACUCAAUUUGAUUGAGUAAAUGGACUAAGGAUGAGCCAAAUUGAAUUGGAUUCAAUUUUAGGUUCAAUCAAAUUUUGACCUGAUUGGGGUCGACUCAAAGUAAAGAGGGGUCGACUCGAGAUGGGGUCGACUCGAGAUGGGCUGGGGUCGACUCUUUCAGAGAAUCCAGAGGACGACUAUUGUCCGAUUCCUGUUUACCCAAAAAUACGCUAAACAGAUCAUUGUUAGAACCGACAAACAAAGUUUAAUUUAAUUUUACUCUUACCUUUUCUACUCGAAGAAUAGUGGUCGUAAGAGGUCGAUCCACAGGGAGGUGAUUGGAGUUGCAUAAAAAUUAAAACGUUCACUCGGAUUCAAAAUCAAUUUUUGAAUGAUAGAAGAAAAACAUUACUUUGAGGAUGUUGAAUGAUUCUCUGGUCUACCAGAGAAUGUUUUCUAAUUGAAAUUAACUACAAGACAGGUAGUCAGAUUCAAAGAGCAUUUAUAUAUUUAACUAAUCAAAAAAGAGCUUUGGCAUAAAUUAAAAUGGAUGAAAACAGUGCUAAGAAGAUCAAAGCCUGGAACAUAAAUUGCAUAAAAGAAAAUUUAAUGCAUUGCAUAAAAAGUAGAAAUUAAACUGAACCUAGAAUAUGGAUUGCAUG
This 1491-nucleotide long non-coding RNA is filed under the name Phoenix dactylifera (date palm). RNAcentral's name for it is "long non-coding RNA (PDAC_LNC008523)". Lineage: Eukaryota; Viridiplantae; Streptophyta; Magnoliopsida; Arecales; Arecaceae. The record is from RNAcentral.